CAUAGACUGAGCGAAUUUAUUUCCUCACGCGAGUUGCUGUUAAUGUAUACUAGAAGUAGUUUUUCAUCUCUAAAGCAUGGAUUGAAUUUUAAAAAAAGAAUGUUUUAAAGUGGGGAUUCAAAAUUGUUGCCAGGAAAAUGGGCCAAUUUAUUUCCUUGAAACAGUGAGUUGCUGUUUAAAGCAUUUUUUAAAUUGAAAGAAAAAAAGAAGAUUGUUUUAAAGUGGGGAUUCGAAAUUGUUACCAAGAAGAUCUCCUUCCAAAAAUCAAAAAAAAGAAGAAAAUUAUUUGAAAAUUUCCCAACAUGAUAUAAAAAGGAUCAUACUGAAGCAGAUGAAAAAAAAGUUACUCGGAGGAUCAGAUGGGGUCAAUAUGGAUUCAAGCUUCAAAUAACCAUUAUAACCCAUGAACUUCCAAGCUAAAUGAAAAUUUACUUAUAAUUUUUAAUGAUUAAUAAAUCUAAAUAAUUUGUGAUGGCGCUGACAAAAAAAAGGUCGCGAUUUUAGCUUUGGCCAGCUACUUAAUGAAAUAUUCCUUUAAUUCCAGCGAUAAUGAGCUCGAUCCCUGUAGGAACCACGAUAGUUAUAAGGAUUGUAAGGUUUGAGUGUUGGAGAAGGCGUUACUGUUGUAAUAACCGGAGAGAUAUUACAUUGGCAUAUAGGGCAACCAUUAGCAUCUAACUCUUUACCAUUUAUACAAAAUAACAUUGGACAAACAUCAAUGCAAGAAGUCGUUACUGUUGUAGUAGGUGGAGCGGCUUCGUUUAUAAAGAAAAAGAUAAAGACAAAAUCAUAAAAUUGUUUACAACGGCUUUGGAUUGAUAGAAUGGUGAAUACGAAAAAUAGUGCAAGAGCAAAGGUA
Long non-coding RNA from Gordionus sp. m RMFG-2023, 859 nucleotides. RefSeq lists it as uncharacterized. The transcript is spliced from 5 exons. Lineage: Eukaryota; Metazoa; Nematomorpha; Gordioida; Chordodea; Parachordodidae. The record is from RefSeq and is a predicted model, not a curated record.